Molecule: long non-coding RNA, 233 nt
Filed under: Gossypium barbadense (sea-island cotton)
Lineage: Eukaryota; Viridiplantae; Streptophyta; Magnoliopsida; Malvales; Malvaceae
Description: long non-coding RNA (GBAR_LNC006745)
Source: RNAcentral
AACACAUUCAGAAAGAAAGAAAGUAAAAACAAUAGAAAUAAAAGUAAUAAUAAUAAAAUUAAUAACAACAACCAAAAAUAUAUUAAAUUAAAACAAAUAAUUAUACACUUUUAAAUUAAAACAUCAACAAAACAAAAUAAUAUCCUCCCAAGCGUGCACACAAGGACUCAAACCCAAAACCUAAAGGUUCGCAAACACUCACUCAACCACUAGACCAGCAGGUCCAUUUUGAC